CCAGAGGCCAGAGUCUGGCAAUCUGCCCCACAGCCCCAGGCAAACCUACUGUUUCAGCAGACACUGGCUUAGAGUUAAGUGCCUGGAUCAAAACUCCCUCCUUAUUCCCAUCAUGUCGAUGGCUUACUGCUUCUCUACCACAGCAAAUCAUGAAACAACCUGAGCCUACCUACUGCAUAUGACAGGUUGCCAAUGAAAUCCAGUUUAAGGGAGGAUAAAAAUGAUUGCUCCAAGUGUUAUGACAGGAAUGGUUCCCAUGCUGUAUUAGAGGAAAACAGCUGCUGGCAUUUCCUAAACACAAAUUUCUUUGGGGAGAACAACAAAUCAUAAGCCAGAGGUUUCUGCAGGGGAUUUCUGACUGGAAAACUGUGUUUAUUAAUUAUAUGUAAAUUUCAUAAUGUUUUGAUGUCUUGAUCUAGCAAUCUGUAGAACUCACACUGAAAAAUCAAAUGUGAGAAAGGCUUAAUUUGGGAG
RNAcentral lists this long non-coding RNA (474 nucleotides) under Junco hyemalis (dark-eyed junco). RNAcentral's name for it is "lncRNA (ENSJHYG00000017594.1)". Lineage: Eukaryota; Metazoa; Chordata; Aves; Passeriformes; Passerellidae. The record is from RNAcentral.